UGAGUCGGCCGGGUGACCGCGGCGUCGGGCUCCGGGUCCGCCCGGGUUCACGGCGUCGAGGAAGGUCGGGGCUCCACAGGUCAGGGUGCUGGCUAACGGCCAGUCGGGGCGACCCGCAGGAUAGUGCCACAGAAAACAGACCGCCGAUGGGCCGCUCGUCGGCCACAGGUAAGGGUGAAACGGUGCGGUAAGAGCGCACCAGCGACCGGGGUGACCCGGCGGCUAGGUAAACCCCACCCGGAGCAAGGUCAAGACGGAGAGACGGGUCGACCGCCCCUGGCCCCCGGGCCGGUAUCUCCGGGUAGACCGCACAGAUGGAUGGUCACCGAAUGGGACCCUGGUAACAGGCCCAGGAACAGAACCCCGCCUACAAGCCGGCUCACCCA
RNAcentral lists this RNase P RNA (386 nucleotides) under Acidimicrobiia bacterium. RNAcentral's name for it is "RNase P RNA component class A". It matches the Rfam family "Bacterial RNase P class A". Rfam says of the family: Ribonuclease P (RNase P) is a ubiquitous endoribonuclease, found in archaea, bacteria and eukarya as well as chloroplasts and mitochondria. The record is from RNAcentral. Lineage: Bacteria; Bacillati; Actinomycetota; Acidimicrobiia.